RNAcentral lists this ribosomal RNA (254 nucleotides) under uncultured bacterium. RNAcentral describes it as "partial 16S ribosomal RNA". It matches the Rfam family "Bacterial small subunit ribosomal RNA", at positions 524 to 776 of the family's 1533-position model. The record is from RNAcentral.
UACGUAGGGAGCAAGCGUUGUCCGGAAUCAUUGGGCGUAAAGCGCGCGUAGGUGGCUUCGUAAGUCCGUUGUGAAAGUCAAAGGCUCAACCUUUGAAAGCCGAUGGAUACUGUGAAGCUAGAGUACGGAAGAGGCGAGUGGAAUUCCUGGUGUAGCGGUGGAAUGCGCAGAUAUCAGGAGGAACACCAAUAGCGAAGGCAGCUCGCUGGGACGUUACUGACACUGAGGCGCGAAAGCGUGGGGGAGCGAACAGG